RNAcentral lists this ribosomal RNA (327 nucleotides) under uncultured prokaryote. RNAcentral describes it as "bacterial SSU rRNA". It matches the Rfam family "Bacterial small subunit ribosomal RNA", at positions 26 to 352 of the family's 1533-position model. The record is from RNAcentral.
AGAUUGAACGCUGGCGGCAUGCCUAACACAUGCAAGUCGAGCGGCAGCGCGGGGGGCAACCCUGGCGGCGAGCGGCGGACGGGUGAGUAAGGCAUCGGAAUCUGCCCUGAUGUGGGGGAUAACGUAGGGAAACUUACGCUAAUACCGCAUACGACCGAGAGGUGAAAGCGGGGGACCGAAAGGCCUCGCGCAGCAGGAUGAGCCCAUGGCCCAUCAGCUAGUUGGUAGGGUAAAGGCCUACCAAGGCUACGACGGGUCGCUGGGUCUGAGAGGACGACCAGCCACACUGGCACUGAGAUACGUGGCCAGACUCCGUACGGGAGCAGC